Molecule: ribosomal RNA, 472 nt
Filed under: Chaetoceros neogracilis
Lineage: Eukaryota; Bacillariophyta; Thalassiosirophyceae; Chaetocerotales; Chaetocerotaceae
Description: partial Bacterial large subunit ribosomal RNA
Rfam family: Bacterial large subunit ribosomal RNA
Source: RNAcentral
UCAAUGUUACCUGUACCCGAAACCGACACAGGUAGGGAGGUUGAGAAUACCAAGGGGCGCGAGAUAACUCUCUCUAAGGAACUCGGCAAAAUGGCCCCGUAACUUCGGAAGAAGGGGUGCCCACCUAAGACGUGGGUCGCAGUGAAGAGAUCCAGGCGACUGUUUACCAAAAACACAGGUCUCCGCCAAGUCAAAUGACGACGUAUGGGGGCUGACGCCUGCCCAGUGCCGGAAGGUUAAGGAAGUCGGUCAGGACGCAAGUCUAAAGCUGGCGACUGAAGCCCCGGUGAACGGCGGCCGUAACUAUAACGGUCCUAAGGUAGCGAAAUUCCUUGUCGGGUAAGUUCCGACCCGCACGAAAGGCGUAACGAUCUGGAUGGUGUCUCAGAGAGAGACUCGGCGAAAUAGGAAUGUCUGUGAAGAUACGGACUGCCUGCACCUGGACAGAAAGACCCUAUGAAGCUUUACUGUA